This 329-nucleotide unclassified non-coding RNA is filed under the name uncultured Archaeosporaceae. RNAcentral describes it as "partial contains 5.8S ribosomal RNA, internal transcribed spacer 2, and large subunit ribosomal RNA". The stretch from base 1 to 101 matches the Rfam family "5.8S ribosomal RNA", at positions 53 to 154 of the family's 154-position model. Lineage: Eukaryota; Fungi; Glomeromycota; Glomeromycetes; Archaeosporales; Archaeosporaceae. The record is from RNAcentral.
UUGCGAUAAGUAGUAUGAAUUGCAAAUUCUGUGAAUCAUCGAAUCUUUGAACGCAUAUUGCGCUCUCUGGUACUCCGGAGAGCAUGCCUGUUUGAGGGUAAUUAAUUAAAUCUUUGAUCUUUUGGUCAAGGGAUAUGGGCACUCCGUGUUUAGCGCGGUCGCCUAAAAUGUAUGGUUGGUCUCAUCAAGUUGAGAUGUGUAAUAAUAUUUAUUUCACAAAAACGCUUGAUAUGCUACCAAGUUUUGAUCUAUCCAACUCUGUUAGAUGUGGUCAAAACAAAUAUUUUUGACAUUACCUCAAAUCAGGUAGGAAUACCCGCUGAACUUAA